RNAcentral lists this ribosomal RNA (347 nucleotides) under Holopsis nr. rotundata CO942. Its description in RNAcentral is "partial 12S ribosomal RNA". The record is from RNAcentral. Lineage: Eukaryota; Metazoa; Arthropoda; Insecta; Coleoptera; Corylophidae.
UCUAAUUGUAAAUAAUAAAAAUUAAAGAAGUAGUAGUUAAUUUCUUGAAAUUUAAAGAUUUUGGCGGUAUUUUAGUCUUUUCAGAGGAACCUGUUCUAUAAUUGAUAACCCACGAUAAUAAAAAUUUUAAUUUUAAAUUUACAUAUCGUCGUAAUUUGAAUAUUUUAAAAGAAUAAAUAUUCAGUAAAUUUGACAAAAUUAAAAAUCAGAUCAAGAUGUAGUUUAUAUUAAAAAAGUAAUGGGUUACAAUAAAAAAAUUUAUAGAUUAUAAAUUAAAAAUUUAUAUUAAAUUGGAUUUGAAAGUAAUUAAUUAAAUUUAUUUUUAAUGAUUAAGCUCUAAAAUAUGC